CCAUCACUUAAACGUGGAUGUACUGGCUCUGAACUACAGAAGUAAGUGCUUCCAUGUUUAGUGAUGG
This 67-nucleotide microRNA precursor is filed under the name Pteropus alecto (black flying fox). RNAcentral's name for it is "mir-302 microRNA precursor family". It matches the Rfam family "mir-302 microRNA precursor family". The record is from Rfam by way of RNAcentral. Lineage: Eukaryota; Metazoa; Chordata; Mammalia; Chiroptera; Pteropodidae. RNAcentral also lists the same sequence under 2 other names.